GAAAUGUAAAGAGAAAUCAAAGGGGGUUAGCAACAAAGCCACAUUUUUGUCCCCUGCUACCAUUUGCUUACAAAUCUAGCAUUAAAGCUCGUCAAUUCUCCUCCAAUUCUCGGUCAUCAUUGUUCUCAAUCGCAUAUUAGAUUAAGAAACCACCAUUUUUGUCACUGAAUCAUGAGGAGAAAUUCAGAGCCCAGCGCUCAAAACCCUUUUUGCCCUCACUAAUUGCAUCUCCAUUCUACCCAGUCAACCUAGGAAUCCACGAAACAA
RNAcentral lists this unclassified non-coding RNA (267 nucleotides) under Hevea brasiliensis (rubber tree). Lineage: Eukaryota; Viridiplantae; Streptophyta; Magnoliopsida; Malpighiales; Euphorbiaceae. The record is from RNAcentral.